AUAUUGUUCACAGAAUCCUGAGAUACUUGAAGGGGACUCCGGGUAAAGGGUUGUGGUUUGCGAAGAGUGGACAUCUUGAGGUGGAUGGCUAUAGUGACUCUGAUUGGGCUAGCUGUCAAGAUGAUAGACGAUCAACUUCAGGCUACUGUGUGUUUGUGGGAGGAAAUUUGGUGUCAUGGAGAAGCAAGAAACAGACUGUUGUGUCUAGAUCAACAGCAGAAGCUGAAUAUAGAGCAUUAUCUCAAGGGUUGUGUGAUAUGCUCUGGGUGAAGCACCUACUAUGCGAGUUGAAACUUUUGAGGAAGGGACCCUUAAGAGUGUGGUGUGACAAUCAGUCAGCUAUAGCCAUUGCUAAUAACCCAGUUCAACAUGAUAAGACGAAGCAUGUGGAAAUUGAUCGCUUCUUCAUUAAAGAGAAACUUGAUGCUGGGAUCAUCAGCCUUACUUAUGUCAGCUCUGGGCAGCAGUUUGCAGAUUGCUUGACAAAGGGACUGGGAACAAAGGACUGUAACUUGGCGUGUGACAAGAUGGGGAUGAUAGAUAUCUACCACCCAUCUUGAGGGGGAGUGUUGAACCGGUAUGGGCCCUAGCCCAUCUUGAUCUGUCUCUUGGGCCCAAGCCCAUGAGAGGUGCUGACCUAGAAGAGGAGCCCCUCUUCCCUUCCUCCUGUAUGUGCCGCCACAUCUAAGACACACACGACAAAGUCACGGACAGGGAGCUUAAUAUAUAUGAUAUCAGUUCAUUUGAUCCUGAGCUGGCCACAACCCUUAUGGAGUUGAAAGCACUUGUCAAAAGAGAUACUUAGAAUCAUCUUCAAGGGGGGAUACCAGAGCACAUCUGAUUUGUGUUAACGAGGUUGUAAAAUUGAGGAUCUUGCUAUUGACUUUGUUGUCCCAGUAUAUCCAGAAUAUGUGCUUUCUUCAGAGGGUACCUCAGAUAAUGUAACUGGCGAGAGUUUGGAAGAAUAUGUUUAUUUGUUGUCGACACUACGGUUAAAAGUGGAAUCUCAAGACAACUGGAGGCUUUUAAGUCAGGAUUCAGUCAGUAUGCUGUAUCAUGGUGCUGCUCUCGUCUUUUAUAGUACUUGGGUAACUUGGGACAGCUUUUCAGUUACACUAUCUGAAAGAAGCUUUAGAAUUAUGGCUAGGUUGGCCCCAGUUCACAAAAUGGGGAGCGUGAGUAGGAUGUAUUGUUACUUAGAAGCUAUCAGGGCUCCACAUUUUGUAGUUUAUACAAGUUCUACUCCCUUUGACAAAGUAUUAGGUUGCUUUUUCCUACUAGCAUUUUAUCUUUAGACGAACUUGGCAGUAAUGCUUUAAUUAGACAAUGCAAAAACCUUUCCUUAUUUUUUUAACCCUGUGUAUUUCUUAAACAAUCUUAAUCCAAUAUGUAUAAACUUAUACUUGUUUCUGAUAGUAAUGACUCCCUCUGUCCUUUUAUUACAUCUGUCCGUUCAGGUGUAUUUAGAUGUUAGGUUGCUUUCUGUACUUUGCUCUGUAACUCAUGAGCCUUACAUGGGCCCUAUAGGGUGACAUGCACUCGAUGUUCAUUGCUCAUUUAUAUAUUUCACUCUUCUCUGGUGUUGUCUCUUACUGCCCGCACAGUCGAAAAAUCAUUUUGUUGUUGUCCACUGACACUGGGUAUUGCAGGUAUUUUUACUAAGCACACUUCAGGUAUUCUCGGAGGAUGAGCUGGAGAGAUGACUCUGCGGAGAACAAGAUAAUUGGGAUUCCUGCAAUCAUUCUCUCUGAUGAUGACCUGCCGAGUGUGAUGAUUUGUGCUAACUAUCUCAAGUGACCUGCCUACUGCACCAAGGUAUCUUGUUGCAGUGUCGGCUUGACAAUUCUUCUCCAGGGGAUUCAUCAAAGGAGCAAGGAGAGCAGAGAUUAGGUUAGUAGGACUUAUCUUGAGGUGAAACUCUUAAAAGAACAGGGAGUUUGGUACUACUACUAUUGUUAACAUUUGAACGCAUUCCCUAAUAAAGGGAAAACAACCAGCUAAAAAUGUAUGCACAGGAAUUCAUGCGCUACUCCCUCCGUUUCUAAAUAUAAGUCCUUUUAGAGAUUUCAAUAUGGAUUACAUAUGGAUGUAUAUAGACAUA
Molecule: long non-coding RNA, 2101 nt
Organism: Triticum dicoccoides
Lineage: Eukaryota; Viridiplantae; Streptophyta; Magnoliopsida; Poales; Poaceae
Exons: 5
Source: RefSeq, a predicted model, not a curated record